AGCGCCUGCCUGCCUCCAGAAGCAGGGGGUCCCGUGCCAGGAGACUCAGUCAGGAGGAAUGGCCCCCGCCCGCCCGCCUGUGCCCACUGAGGGCGACUCACGCGCCUGGCAUUCGAGUAGUGCCAAGUGACGGACCUGUUGCUGCGCCAGGGAUCACCUUUCUUCCCCAUCCUAGGCUGAGUCCUCCGUCCCUGAGCACACGCCCACCACAGGAACGGGGUCAUUCAGAUUUGGGGAUGGCACCAGAAGAUCUCAGAAGUGACCAUCUCCCAAAUGAACAAGGGGAUCACAACUCUGGACACAGAACACAGGGAGGGCAGCCUUUGAUUCCCCCCUUUAAAACCCCCUGUUCCCCUGAUGGCCGGAAUCACCGCCUCUGGGAGAGGAGUCCUCUGUGUUUUCCUCCUUAGCUAGUAAAGCAAUAAAACUUCUUUCUCCUUUUUUUCUCAAAA
This is a long non-coding RNA of Marmota flaviventris (yellow-bellied marmot), 452 nucleotides long. RefSeq lists it as uncharacterized. NCBI's taxonomy places the organism in Eukaryota, Metazoa, Chordata, Mammalia, Rodentia, Sciuridae. The record is from RefSeq and is a predicted model, not a curated record.